This 3001-nucleotide long non-coding RNA is filed under the name Brassica napus (rape). RNAcentral's name for it is "long non-coding RNA (BNAP_LNC011630)". Lineage: Eukaryota; Viridiplantae; Streptophyta; Magnoliopsida; Brassicales; Brassicaceae. The record is from RNAcentral.
CCACCACUUGCUUUGAUUCUUGAAAAAGUGAAAAAUAUCGUAUGGGUCCAAAGACCAAAAUAGUUUCAAAGACCCCACAAACUUUAUCAGCAAUUCAAUAAAAGAUCACGACUUUCAGACCAAACAUCAUCAAUCGUUCCCCUAGAAGAACAGUUGUCGGGGGUAAAUUUGUCUUUAUGCAAAAGUUACAAGAUCUUUAUUUUUCUUAAGAUAUUUUUCCAAUAAAUUAUCAAAGAUAUAAUCAUUUUCAGAUUUGUAUAUCUCUAAUCGAAAAUCGGAAAAAGCUUACCGCAGCUUCCCUGAUCUUUGACGGCGGCGACGGCACCUUCUUUUCUCCAGUCAACGGAAGCAGGAAGCGCGUCGCCAACACGCGGCUCAUAUCGAUCGCUGGUUUUGAGAACUCUCUUCUUCGGUUUAGCACCGAGGUAGAUAGAUCGGUACUCAUCGUUGGUUAGAUCAGCGAACCGGGUUAAACCGAGUUUGUAACUGAGGUUUUUGUUGUUGUGUUCGUCGAUGAAACGAAGAUUGUCUUUGAAGAUCUCGAAUCUCUGAUCCGUGACAAGACCGUUGUUCUGCGUCAUCAUCUUCUUCUUUCCGUGUUUCUCCAUCCACUCCUCGUAGAUUUUUGAAACCUCGGCGUCGCUCCGGCCGUUGACGGCGGAGAUGUGGCGCUUCUCGUCGUAUGAGAUGAUCGACAUGUCGACAGCGUACGAAACGCCGAUCAUCAUCGCUAGGAGAAGGAUGGUUACAUUUACGAAGCCCAUUUUUUGAUAUUUAACAGAGAAAGAAGAAGACGAUUGGAUGAUUGAUAAGAGAUUGAUGAGGGUGUAUAUAAAGGAGAAUUUCAGUCGAGCGUCAUAAUUAAAUAUUAUUUACUUUUGUCUCACUUUUCGAAAUAUACUUUAAAGACAAUUAAAGAAAACCGGCUAAAAUUAUAAACAAAAGAAAUUGAAUACUUCUCAAAAUUUUAAAAUAUUGCAUCUAGAACAAAAACUAGUGAACAGAGUUAUUGCUCUUUUUAAUAAUUCCGUUCUCGGAAUUAUAUAUUUUUUACAUAUAACAAAAUCUCACUUUUCAAAACUUGAAAUUUUACUGAAUCUUCUGAAGUAUGUAAAAAGGAGAACUGAAUUUUAAAAAUACACUACAUCUCGAUCCUUUUGUUUUUAUUUAUUUUUAUAUAAACAUUUUGUUUUCAAUUCUAAAUUGGUAUAUAUUAUAAUAUAUAUAUGUUUAUCAAUUUUUAAAACAUAAUAAGUUUACACUAUAUUUUUUUCAUUGAAUAGAUUGUUUUAAACUUUCACAUGUAUUUGUAUCUUUUUCUAUAUAUAUAUAUAUUUUCGGAUUAUUAUUUCAAUAUUAAAAUCGUAACAAUAUAUAUAAAGAUUCAUAAAAUAUUGUUUUAAUAUCAUAUUCAAAAAUAUUGUAAUAUUUCACAAAUUUAGAAAGUUUUAAAAAAUUAAACUUUUCGCUUCAUAGAUUUAUAUUAUCGAGUAAAUAAUUAAACUUUUAGUUUUUGUUUAAUUUUUUAAAUAAACUGUAUAGUUUAAAAUUUGUUUUCAUUGGUUUAAGGUAGUAAAUAUUAAUAAUUGUUAGAUAAUAUGAUUUUUGUUAUUUAACUCCAUGGUCUAACUCCGUUCCACAGGUUCCAUCAAAUACACCCUGAAGUGAAAAAAGGCAAAUAAAAAUCUUAGCAUCUUGAAAUAUAUUUGCAAGUGUUUACUACGAAUAUAGCGUAACCAUUCUUUAAAUAUGUGAGAACGUGAAUAAAUAAAUAAAUGUUCUGAAUGGUAAACCAUUAAUCAUUAACGUUCCAUUGAUUCUUCUCAUGCUAACUAGUUACAAGUUCGGCUAUUUCAUACCGAAGAAUAGAGCUGGAAGGCACGACCACCAGCUUCAAUGGCAACACUAAUAGGCUGAUUAGCCAAAGCUUUCUUAAGAGCCGCCUCGUUGUUCUCCGGCACAUCCUCAUAACCGUCAAUUUUGACAACCUUUGCGUUUUUCUGCAAAACACGAGAAACAGAGGUGUUAAACCCAUUUCUAUUUGAUAUUAAUACCAAAAAACCUAAACCAACACACACUAGUUAACUUAACCCUGUUCUGAUCACAACGGCCAUCCGCAGCUUUGUAUGGAUAAUCCUCUUCAGUAUCAAUACCACCAUUUUUAAUAAUGAACUCAAACGCAUAGUCCAUCAAACCUCCAUUACAGCCUUGGUUGUAAGAUGUGUCACAAUCUACUAGUUCUUGUUCAGACAAAGAGAUUAAGUCUCCUGUCACAAUCUUGUUUAUUCCUUCCACAGCUCCAAUGGUUGAAAAUGCCCAACAACUCCCUAAAAACACGAGUUAAUUAAAUCAAAUUAGCCCCACCACUUGCUUUGAUUCUUGAAAAAGUGAAAAAUAUCGUAUGGGUCCAAAGACCAAAAUAGUUUCAAAGACCCCACAAACUUUAUCAGCAAUUCAAUAAAAGAUCACGACUUUCAGACCAAACAUCAUCAAUCGUUCCCCUAGAAGAACAGUUGUCGGGGGUAAAUUUGUCUUUAUGCAAAAGUUACAAGAUCUUUAUUUUUCUUAAGAUAUUUUUCCAAUAAAUUAUCAAAGAUAUAAUCAUUUUCAGAUUUGUAUAUCUCUAAUCGAAAAUCGGAAAAAGCUUACCGCAGCUUCCCUGAUCUUUGACGGCGGCGACGGCACCUUCUUUUCUCCAGUCAACGGAAGCAGGAAGCGCGUCGCCAACACGCGGCUCAUAUCGAUCGCUGGUUUUGAGAACUCUCUUCUUCGGUUUAGCACCGAGGUAGAUAGAUCGGUACUCAUCGUUGGUUAGAUCAGCGAACCGGGUUAAACCGAGUUUGUAACUGAGGUUUUUGUUGUUGUGUUCGUCGAUGAAACGAAGAUUGUCUUUGAAGAUCUCGAAUCUCUGAUCCGUGACAAGACCGUUGUUCUGCGUCAUCAUCUUCUUCUUUCCGUGUUUCUCCAUCCACUCCUCGUAGAUUUUUGAAACCUCGGCGUC